Molecule: long non-coding RNA, 7928 nt
Organism: Physeter macrocephalus (sperm whale)
Lineage: Eukaryota; Metazoa; Chordata; Mammalia; Artiodactyla; Physeteridae
Exons: 3
Source: RefSeq, a predicted model, not a curated record
CCAACGUCGAUCUCGCCCUCAGUCUCUGCCAGAGAAAAGGGGGAAACCGCUAAGGACGGAUGGGGCGUGCCCCCCGGGGCCUGACUCAGAGCCUGGUCUGUAGCAUUUGGUGAAUGGUGGGUGUAAAGGCAGAAGUCGGGAGAGAAGAGCACGACUGACGGUGGCGACACUGGUCCCAAGGGAGGGUCUGUGUGUCGGAAAUAUGAAGAAAUGAGACUGCAGAGAGGCCAACUUUUUAGGGACGCUGAGGAUUUGGGACAAAAUAUAAUUAUAGCUCACAGUUCUGAAGGGCCGAUUGUAUUCUUAGCAGUUCACCUGAACUAUCCUCACAACCCUAUGGUGUUGUUGAAGUGAUCAAAUUAAAUAAUCAUGGAGUGCUUCUGAUGUCUCAGAGGUAUUUCUUUUGAGAAAUGCCAAGAAGGUACGAAUCAAGGCCCCUGCCUUACAAAUUUUGGGGGAGGGUGAGUCAGGUAGAAAUCCACCAACAUUGACAAGUACUUGGAGCCUGCCCUAACCCUGCCCUCCUCUCCUGCCCUCCCCCUCUGCUUAAUUCCCUCUACAACCCUGUGAGGUUGGCCUUCAGCUUUUUGUUUUGCAAGUGAGGAACCUAGAUUGAUGGAGUGGGGAUUGAAGGAUAAAAUUCUGAACGCUUCCGUGUGCUUUCUUCCUCUCUCCCACUCUGCCUCUGUUUCACACAACAAAAAGCUUUCAGUAACAGUUCAGCACAUUAGAAGACAGUAUGGAAUCUAUAGCCAAGUACUGCUUAUAAGCAGUAAUCGCUUUUUACCUUUGAUAAAUGCAGAGAAGGAAGGCUCUUCAGGUGUUUCAGGUAGUCAGGAUUUAGAACAGCAGUGCUUCAGGACUGUUAGGGUAGUAGCAGCGUUCAGGGUAGAUGGCAGGAGAGUUGAAUUAGGGAGACAAACUAGGACUGGUUCAGAGGUGAACUAUCAAGACCAGAACAAUGGAAUGUAGUGGUAAGUAGUAGAAUAAGAUGAUUCCCAGGAAACCUCAAAAGAAGGCUUAUAGAGGAGCAUAGUGUGGUAGAUUAACGAUAUGGACCCAGGAUCAGAUCUGAAUUCCAACUUUGAUACUUGGCACUUAACUAGCUCUUUGUCCCUAGGCAAAUCAUUUUACCUCUCUGACCCUCCCUCAUUCUCUGCUCUGUAAAACAAGGACAGUACCUUCCCCAUAGAGUUGUUAUGAUAAUAAAGUCAGUAUUUACUUUAGUGUCUGGCAUAUAGUAAGAACUAAAUAAAUGUAUAACCACGGAAAACCGUGAAAUUGAAUCCUAAAGAUUAACUCUAAAGGUCCCUCACUUGGUCCUAACAGUGUAGUCACAGGAUCAUACUUAGUGUUGUAUUGUACUUUUGUAUUUCUUUUCUUGAAGCUGUCCACCAAAAUUAUAUAUACCUCAAGCCCCAUAAAAUCUGGAUCUGCUCCUAGUAGGAUCUGUAGUGUUGUGAAAGAACAUAGGCUUUGGAAUCAGACUUGUUCCCAUAACUUAUUAUCCCUGUUACUUUAGGCAGUUAAUUCACUGACCUAUUCUGGUCUCAGUUUUCUUACCAGAUAAGUUGAAGGUAAUAUCUACCAGCCUGAGCUGUUGUGAGUCAAAUAAGAUAGGAUUCACAAAAGCAGUGAAACUUGGAAAGUGCUCUACAAAUGUUUAUGAAUUAAUAUUGGUAUAAUUUGUCCAUAAAGUGUUUAAGAGGCAAAGAUCAGAAGCAUCCCCAAGGUGGGACUUCCCUGGCUGUCCAGUGGUUAAGACUCUGCACUUCCAAUGCAGGGGACGCAGGUUCGAUCCCUGGUUGGGGAGCGAAGGUCCCACAUGCUGCGCGGCCAAAAAAUAAAUAAAGGAAACAAAGUAAAAAAAAAAAAGCAACUCCUGGGUUCUUAGCUGAAAAAGUAGAAACGGCGUGGGUGAGCUGGCAAAAAUAAUGAAAUGACACAGGUAAAAUUUUUACUUUUCUGCCAGGUUUUCUUCCUGAUUAAUCCAUGAGGCACUGAAGAGGUAAACUAGUAAGCAUAAGAUCAGAAAUUUAGAUCUGAGAGGAGGUUGAAGAUCAUCUAGCAUAACCCCCUACAUUUUACAGAAAGCGAAAUUAAGGUCUAGGGAAGCUAAAAGACUUUUCUAAGGCCACCCAUCUAAUAAAUGGCAUGCUCAGAAGAACCAGAUCUCUAGGCUCCAGGUUCUUACAGUUCCAAGCAAUCUUUAAGAUAAAAGCAUUUCAUCAUGGGGUCUUUCAAAAUCAGAGAAGGUAUGGUACUCUCUAGUGGCUUUUGGCUUCAUCACAAAAUUUUCUAGGUACACUUUUCUGUUUUAAAGGUUGAUAGACUGUUUGCAAGCUUGUUAGUAAGUGAGCAAAACUUCUGAAGAUUUCAAGGUAAGAGUUAUAACUUCAGAAAUUAGUAAUGAGAUGAGACAAGCAAAUGCAAAAUUUGCAAGUUCAUAACAACUAGUUACUAUUCAAGUUGAGAAAGUUACUCAAUUGCUUUAUCUGAAAAAGGAGAAUAAUAAAAUUACCGUGUAUUUUCUCUGGAAUUCAACUGCAUACUUCAUUUACAUUCCCCCAGUUAUUCCAUCAUUUCUGUGACGUAGGAAAUAGCAGGAAAGGAUUCUUUUAAAACACAAUAAUACUUAAUAGAUUAAGAACAUUCCCCCCAUUUAACAUUUAUAGCAAUUUAAUUGGGAAUGUGGAAAAUGAAAUUUUCAGAACAGUCUAUAUGGGGAACAAGUGACAAGAAUAUUCCUUUUUGACCUAUUUAUCCUCUAAUUCAGUUUGUUUUCAGCCAAACUGCAUAAGGCUCUCCUUAUGGCAGUCCAGUUCCCAUACCCUUAUUCCAUUCAGUGGUCUGAUAUGGCUUUUGUCUCCUGCUUCUUGUCUCUGCCAUCACAGUCUAGUUUUGGCCUAUGCUGUUUGUAUCCUACAUCACUGUUUAGGACCUUUCCUAGCAAGCAUUCCUUUUAGGCAUGGUCCUACAUAUUUGCCAGCCUGUCUACUUCCUUGACCCUGGCUAACCCUGAGCUCUCCCCUUCUUUUUUUCCUCUCUCCUGUCUCUUCCUUUCUUCCUUCCUUCUUCCUUCCCUUUCUGUCUUUAGUUUUCUAGACAGGUGGGCUGAGGGUGGGGGAAUAACAAUAACAAUAAAUUGAUGAUGGCUAAGAUUUAGGGAAUAUUUAGUAUAUGCCAGGCAUCGAUCUAAGCUUUUUACACAUAUUAACUCAUUGACUCCUCAUAAAAAUGCUAUGGACUAGGUACUAUUUUUUUUUAUUAUUUUUAAAAAUAUUUAUUUGGCUGUGCCAGGUCUUAGUUGUGGCACAUGGGAUAUUUUAGUUGCGGCAUGCGGGAUCUUUAGUUGCGGCAUGGGGGAUCUGGUUCCCUGACCAGGGAUCAAACCCGGGCCGCCUGCAUUGGGAGUGCAGUCUUAGCCACUGGACCACCAGGGAAGUCUCUGUACUAGGUACUAGUAUAAUCCCUAUUUUACAGACAGAUACAGAGGUAACAUACAGAGAUGUUAAGUAACUGGCCCAAAGUCACAUAAUCAGCAUUGUCUGGAAUUAACAGGAAGUAGUCAUUAUUUAGUUUUCAGUAUGAAAAGAGUAGAAAUUGUCAUUUGUAACUGAUAAUACCAUAGGAGACUAAUCAAUAGACUUUGAAGGCCGUUCUAGGUUGCUUCUAUCCCUGGUAAAGCUAAACAGUCAUUACAAAAACUGUUGGCCAGGGCUUCCCUGGUGACGCAGUGGUUAAGAAUCCACCUGCCAAUGCAGGAGACACGGGUUCGAGCCCUGGUUCGGGAAGAUCCCACAUGCCACGGAGCAACUAAGCCUGUGUGCCACAAUUACUGAGCCCGCGUGCCUAGAGCCCAUGCUCCGCAACAAGAGAAGCCACCACAAUGAGAAGCCCGCGCAUCACAACAAAGAGUAGCCCCCGCUCGCCGCAACUAGAGAAAGCCCGCGCGCAGAAACGAAGACCCAAUGCAGCCAAAAAAACAAAACAAAACAAAACUCUUGGCCAUGGAAGCUGCCUUUGAAACUAGAGAGUUCAAAAGGAACUACCCCCUGCUUAUCUGAAUCAGGGUAGUUGUGAACCUCUGGGCAGCUAAAUUGGGGUGGAGAUGUUGGGAUAUCUUUUUCAACAGCUAAAUUUUAAGAUCACCUGUAUUCCAGGAAGUUCUGGGUGUCCUGGCACCCACAUUCCACACUGUGAGAUCUUUCAGCAUGAGAACUUGGACCUUAUGGCCCUCACCCAACAGCAGCAGCAGGCAGUUGGAACUCCUUGAACAGCUGUACCUCAAACCUGGUGUGACUCGGAAGAGGGGUGCAUGCAGCGAAGGAAGCCUCUUAGAUCAUAAUGACUAACAUUAUGUAUCCACUUGGGGAGUCAGGCCUGGGUGUUCUAACUGGACCUUGAUACUGCUGCACUGGUGUACAAGAUGAGGCUUGGAUAAAGCACAGAAAUCAAUCUGUGGUGACCUCUGAGAACCCUGAAUCUGCCACAGUGCCCUGCACCAUACAGCACCUGUGACACCUGUGCCCAGGUGAGGUCCAGGGCUGUCAACCUCACUUCUGAGCUGUGUAUUAAUAGAGUGAAGCCUCUCUCCACCCGCUUUCCUUUUGCACAAAUCAUGAGUUCAGAUGUCAUGCCUAUUGUAUUUUACCCUGACAGCCUUAUUUUUUGUGGUCAUAGAAUAAGGCCAUACCCCUCUGGGUAGGGUGUAAAGAUUUCCCUAAAUAAAGUAAAUGUUCUCAUCAUCGAUCAUUCAAAGAAGAAGAGAAUUCUCACACAGGAAUACUUGCAGCAUGGAACAGGCAAGAUGGCACUUCUGGAUUUACUUUCUUAGGGUUUGGACUUAGAGGAGGUAAGAAAUGUUGAGGGCCCUCCUCACUGAUUCUGGGGAAAUGGCCUCUGCCACAGAGCUGCCUAGUAGGAACCAGGCAAAGAGGUUUUCCUGGAGACCCAAAAAUGAAGCCACAUCACCAGGAACCAGAAUCUGGAGAAGUUACAUGCCAGCAACAACAGGAAGCACAAAGCCAUAAACUGCAAACAGGCAACAAACAUCAGGGCAACCAUCCAUGUAGAAGAUUAGGUAUGCCUUUCAUGUUGCAUCAGGCCAAAACAAUAAUAAUGAAAUAAUGGGUUUUUUACUCCUGUUUCCAAUGAAAAGAUAAUUUAAUCUUGGAGCCUUCCAACUUCAUAUGUAUCCCCUCUGGUUUGCUAGUCAUUGCAUUUACCAACCCAGGUGAGACCACAUCAUGCAUGAAACACAGCCCAAAUAUGCUUCAACCAUAACAUGGGAAUAUAUAAUGCAGACUAUGUUGAUUACCAAGCCCACUUACAGAAUCCAAUGGGAUGAGUGAGGUAUGGACACCAGGACUUACCAGAGGAGUUCUUUGUUGCUGCAACCAUGCUUCUUAACAAAGACCUUCCACCAAGAAUCUAGGAAAAUCCCAUCCCAUUCCCCCAAACUUAUAGGUAUGUUAUUAAGCUAUUCUUAUGCUUAGUCAUAAAGUGGGUAUUUUUUAGCUUAUAAUUACUAAAAGGCUGAGAUUUAAACCUAGGUCUCAUAGCUUGUGCUCCUAAAUGCUGGACGAUUUUCAUUUAUCUAAAACUCUGAGGUCAUAGGGAGGGAUGGGGAUGAGGAGGAUAAGAGGCAGGAAAUAGAUGGCUGUUUUAUAGUCCCAACCCUGAGCCUUAGCCUUACAUGCUGUUUCUUCAGAGAAAGCACUUCCUCCGUGUACCAGGUGAACUGUAUACAGAAUAACAUGGAGGUGAAAGAGAAGCAGACAGACUAACAAGGGAGUAGUUUUAGUAAUUCUGUUAUAUAAUUCAAACCUCUUUGUAAUCCAGUUUAGCUGCCCCACUAAUUAAUGUGAAUUAAUAAGUUUCAUAAUUAUCAUAUUUAUUCACCAGGUUCUUUCUACAUAAUUACUGUUUACACUUUAAUAAAUUGCUUAGGAAGGCCACCUCCAAAUCCAAAUUAAAUGUAGUGUGUUUCAUUUCCUAUUUCCUUCCUGUGGGCACAUGAUUAUUUUGGAAAAAGCUUUCGCUUGAUAAUUAAAUUCCAUAUCUCGCUCUCUCUAUAACAUUACAUAUUCAUAAGCCUUGCCAAUCCAAGGGAAGGGCGCUUCUAGGCUGUUAGUGGAUCUCCUGAAGUUUUAAGGACUUCAAGCAAAAAUGGAUGCAGUCUUUGUACUUUAAAAUUCAGGCUUUCCGGGGGAUUCCUUGGUGGUGCAGUGGUUGAGAAUCUGCCUGCCAAUGCAGGGGACACGGGUUCGAGCCCUGUUCUGGGAAUAUCCCACAUGCCGUGGAGCAACUAGGCCCGUGAGCCACAACUACUGAGCCUGCGCAUCUGGAGCCUGUGCUCUGCAACAAGAGAGGCCGCGAUAGUGAGAGGCCCGCGCACCGCGAUGAAGAGUGGCCCCCGCUUGCCACAACUAGAGAAAGCCCUCGCACAGAAACGAAGACCCAACACAGCAAAAAUAAAUAAAUAAAUAAAUUUAAAAAUUGAGGAGGUCCGAGGUCCCCUUUAAAAAAAAAAAAAAAAAUUCAGGCAUUCCAAACUUCUAAUGUGUUGUCAGCUAACAAGAAUGCAAAAGUCAUAGAAUUCAGAAAAUAUCUUAAGAGUAUUAGAUAGCCAUAUAAACAUUUUAUGAUCUAAUUUAUACAUUUUUCAUAUAGAAAGCUUUUCCUCAGGUCAGCAAAGCAAAUUAAGUUUCUCCUUUAUUUUCACGUGAGGGGAGAAAGCUGGGGAGAGAGAAGGAAAGGUAAUGUUUUUAAGGUAGAUUAAAAAGGCCUAAUGCCCCAAGAAUUUUCUAUCUAUGUAUUGGAGGGACAUUUAAAUUCUGUGUUAGCAUUUGGUAUGACUUUCUGUCAACUUGGAAAGUUAACCUUUCUAGGACAGUCUCUACUAGAAAUUGGGACUUCCUCUUCAAAAAGAUUUUUGCUUACUUCUUUUUUUUUUUUUUUUUUUUUUUGCUGUACGCGGGCCUCUCACUGCUGUGGCCUCUCCCAUUGCGGAGCAGCACAGGCUCCGGACGCGCAGGCCCAGCGGCCAUGGCCCACGGGCCCAGCCGCUCUGUGGCACGUGGGACACUCCCGGACCGGGGCACGAACCCGUGUCCCCUGCAUCGGCAGGCGGACCCCCAACCACUGCACCACCAGGGAAGCCCCCGCUUACUUCUUUUUAAAGAGAUUGCAAGAUAAUUUUAACUCACUGAAGAACAUUUUCCACCUCUUGAUUAUCCAAUAUAGCUAUAGUACAGUUCCUUUUAUCCUUCCUCUCUUUGUCUUUUAGACUGGAAGGUAUCAAAAGGUAAAAGGUGUUCAGAAAUGGAGGCAAACAUAGAUGAAGCCUAAAGACAUUCCCUCGUAUCCAGGUCUCUAGCAGCCUUCCUCCUGGCCUCUUCCUCUUGGCAUUCUAUCCUUAUCAGGAAAAAAAAAAAAAUUACUCUGUAGGCCCCCACUCAAGGACCUGACUUCCCUGGGAAUUUUUAUUCUUAUGUUCAGAAUACAUAUAGAGUUUGAUUCAGUUAAGUUUUAUUACACGGGGACUUGCCUGGUGGCACAGUGGUUAAGAAUCUGCUGCCAAUGCAGGGGACAUGGGUUUGAGCGCUGGUCCAGGAAGAUCCCACAGCCGCGGAGCAACUUAGGCCCAUGUGCCACAACUACUGAGCCUGUGCUCUCGAGCCCACAAGCCACAACUACUGAGCCUGCGCGCCACAACUACUGAAGCCUGUGCGCCUAGAGCCCAUGCUCCACAAGAGAAGCCACCACAAUGAGAAGGCCAUGCACCGCAAUGAAGAGUAGCCCCCACUAGCCACAACUAGAGAAAGCCUGUGCGCAGCAACAAAGACCCAAUGCAGCCAAAAGUUUAAAAAUUAAUAAAAAAAUUUAUAUUAAAAAAAGACCAGGGGCUUCCCUGGUGGCGCAGU